RNAcentral lists this ribosomal RNA (497 nucleotides) under uncultured bacterium. RNAcentral's name for it is "bacterial SSU rRNA". It matches the Rfam family "Bacterial small subunit ribosomal RNA", at positions 899 to 1397 of the family's 1533-position model. The record is from RNAcentral.
ACUCAAAGGAAUUGACGGGGGCCCGCACAAGCGGCGGAGCAUGCGGAUUAAUUCGAUGCAACGCGAAGAACCUUACCAAGGCUUGACAUACACCGGAAACGGCCAGAGAUGGUCGCCCCGUAAGGCUGGUGUACAGGUGGUGCAUGGUUGUCGUCAGCUCGUGUCGUGAGAUGUUGGGUUAAGUCCCGCAACGAGCGCAACCCUCGUUCCAUGUUGCCAGCACGUAGUGGUGGGGACUCAUGGGAGACUGCCGGGGUCAACUCGGAGGAAGGUGGGGAUGACGUCAAAUCAUCAUGCCCCUUAUGUCUUGGGCUUCACGCAUGCUACAAUGGCCAGUACAGAGUGCUGCGAAACUGUGAGGUGGAGCGAAUCACUUAAAGCUGGUCUCAGUUCGGAUUGGGGUCUGCAACUCGACCCCAUGAAGUCGGAGUCGCUAGUAAUCGCAGAUCAGCAACGCUGCGGUGAAUACGUUCCCGGGCCUUGUACACACCGCCCGU